UUACGACAAUAUCACGUUGAAACAUUGGUUCCCGUACGAUCGUUGAAGUUAAGCAACAUAGAGCCUGGUUAGUACAUAGAUUAGUGACUGCUUGGGAAUACCAGGUGCUGCAAGC
Acanthosepion pharaonis is the source of this 115-nucleotide non-coding RNA. The record is from the annotation of a GenBank genome assembly. Lineage: Eukaryota; Metazoa; Mollusca; Cephalopoda; Sepiida; Sepiidae.